RNAcentral lists this ribosomal RNA (233 nucleotides) under uncultured Pseudomonadales bacterium. Its description in RNAcentral is "partial 16S ribosomal RNA". It matches the Rfam family "Bacterial small subunit ribosomal RNA", at positions 99 to 334 of the family's 1533-position model. The record is from RNAcentral. Lineage: Bacteria; Pseudomonadati; Pseudomonadota; Gammaproteobacteria; Pseudomonadales.
CGGACGGGUGAGUAAUGCCUAGGAAUCUGCCUGGUAGUGGGGGACAACGUUUCGAAAGGAACGCUAAUACCGCAUACGUCCUACGGGAGAAAGCAGGGGACCUUCGGGCCUUGCGCUAUCAGAUUGAGCCUAGGUCGGAUUAGCUAGUUGGUGAGGUAAUGGCUCACCAAGGCGACGAUCCGUAACUGGUCUGAGAGGAUUAUCAGUCACACUGGAACUGAGACACGGUCCAG